GGAGAGGUGGCAGAGUGGCCGAACGCGCCGGUUUCGAAAACCGGUAUACCUUCACGGGUAUCGGGGGUUCGAAUCCCCCCCUCUCCGC
This 88-nucleotide transfer RNA is filed under the name Caulifigura coniformis. Its description in RNAcentral is "Planctomycetes bacterium Pan44 tRNA-Ser". It matches the Rfam family "tRNA". Rfam says of the family: Transfer RNA (tRNA) molecules are approximately 80 nucleotides in length. Lineage: Bacteria; Pseudomonadati; Planctomycetota; Planctomycetia; Planctomycetales; Planctomycetaceae. The record is from RNAcentral.